GGGGUUGUGGCCUAGCCCGGUAUGGCGACGGGCUCCAGACCCGUUGGAGCACUGAUGCAUGUCGGAGAGACCAUUCUAUCGUGAGUUCAAAUCUCACCAACCCCA
Molecule: transfer RNA, 105 nt
Filed under: Methanoregula sp.
Lineage: Archaea; Methanobacteriati; Methanobacteriota; Methanomicrobia; Methanomicrobiales; Methanoregulaceae
Description: tRNA-Trp
Rfam family: tRNA
About the family: Transfer RNA (tRNA) molecules are approximately 80 nucleotides in length. Their secondary structure includes four short double-helical elements and three loops (D, anti-codon, and T loops).
Source: RNAcentral